UCAUGACCUGGAUCAAAGACAGACUCUCAACUGACUGAGUCACCCAAGUGUCCCGGAACUCUACUGCUUUUGCAAGUUUUUACUUGAAACUAGAACUUAUCUGAAGUUUCCAAAUCUAUGUUGAAAGGAAGAGGAUUCUGAAAGCCCCUGACUUUUUAAGGAACAUGGCAAAUAACAAGUGUGACUGUGAAGUGAACCUAUGACUGGAAACUGAAGCCAGAAUCUCUGCAUUCCUUGCAAGUACCCAUGGUUCCUUUAAUUAUACUCCGGGCUUGUAAACAGGAAAGUGUUUCACAGAUGUAGAAAAUCCAAGAGCUAAUAUGCUCCUUUUCUGCCAUAUGGAAAAGAUAAAUACCAGAACCUAAAAUAUCAGAGUAGAAGAGAAAUAAGAAUGAAACUCUUUGAACACUGACCAUGGAGGAAAUACUUAUGAAGUAUGUUCAAAGGUGUUUGACUUUUUUGUUAUUGUUAUUAAAUUAGUGAUCACAUCAAAAGUAC
Long non-coding RNA from Leopardus geoffroyi (Geoffroy's cat), 498 nucleotides. RefSeq lists it as uncharacterized. NCBI's taxonomy places the organism in Eukaryota, Metazoa, Chordata, Mammalia, Carnivora, Felidae. The transcript is spliced from 4 exons. The record is from RefSeq and is a predicted model, not a curated record.